Small nuclear RNA from Oncorhynchus mykiss (rainbow trout), 114 nucleotides. Its record names the gene U5. It matches the Rfam family "U5 spliceosomal RNA". Rfam says of the family: U5 RNA is a component of both types of known spliceosome. The precise function of this molecule is unknown, though it is known that the 5' loop is required for splice site selection and p220 binding, and that both the 3' stem-loop and the Sm site are important for Sm protein binding and cap methylation. NCBI's taxonomy places the organism in Eukaryota, Metazoa, Chordata, Actinopteri, Salmoniformes, Salmonidae. The record is from Ensembl.
UGACUCUGGUUUCUCUUCAUUACGCCACAAGGGCCUUUCGCCUGUUACUAAAACUUCCGUGGAGAGGAACACUUACGAGUUCCACGUCAUUUUUGGAAGCGGCCUUUGCUUCUU